Molecule: ribosomal RNA, 882 nt
Filed under: Cordyceps cicadae
Lineage: Eukaryota; Fungi; Ascomycota; Sordariomycetes; Hypocreales; Cordycipitaceae
Description: partial large subunit ribosomal RNA
Rfam family: Eukaryotic large subunit ribosomal RNA
Source: RNAcentral
AACGGGGAGUAGACAACAGGGAUUGCCCCAGUAACGGCGAGUGAAGCGGCAACAGCUCAAAUUUGAAAUCUGGCCCUCGGGUCCGAGUUGUAAUUUGCAGAGGAUGCUUCGGGCGAGGUGCCUUCCGAGUUCCCUGGAACGGGACGCCAUAGAGGGUGAGAGCCCCGUCUGGUCGGACACCGAGCCCGUGUGAAGCUCCUUCGAAGAGUCGAGUAGUUUGGGAAUGCUGCUCAAAAUGGGAGGUAUAUGUCUUCUAAAGCUAAAUAUUGGCCAGAGACCGAUAGCGCACAAGUAGAGUGAUCGAAAGAUGAAAAGCACUUUGAAAAGAGGGUUAAAAAGUACGUGAAAUUGUUGAAAGGGAAGCGCCCAUGACCAGACUUGGGCCCGGUGAAUCAUCCGGCGUUCUCGCCGGUGCACUUUGCCGGGCACAGGCCAGCAUCAGUCUGGCGCGGGGGAUAAAGGCUUCGGGAAUGUGGCUCCCUCGGGAGUGUUAUAGCCCGUUGCGCAAUACCCUGCGCCGGACUGAGGUACGCGCAUCGCAAGGAUGCUGGCGUAAUGGUCAUCAGCGACCCGUCUUGAAACACGGACCAAGGAGUCGUCUUCGUAUGCGAGUGUUCGGGUGUCAAACCCCUACGCGGAAUGAAAGUGAACGCAGGUGAGAGCUUCGGCGCAUCAUCGACCGAUCCUGAUGUUCUCGGAUGGAUUUGAGUAAGAGCAUACGGGGCCGGACCCGAAAGAAGGUGAACUAUGCCUGUAUAGGGUGAAGCCAGAGGAAACUCUGGUGGAAGCUCGCAGCGGUUCUGACGUGCGAAUCGAUCGUCAAAUAUGGGCAUGGGGGCGAAAGACUAAUCGAACCUUCUAGUAGCUGGUUUCCGCCGAGCU